CUGUGGCUUUGGACUNUGUGAUGACUCUUGGUGUGUGGUAGCUUUUCAGCAAGGUCCUCCUCAAAGUAGCCAUA
This 74-nucleotide microRNA precursor is filed under the name Neotoma lepida (desert woodrat). Its description in RNAcentral is "mir-679 microRNA precursor family". It matches the Rfam family "mir-679 microRNA precursor family". Lineage: Eukaryota; Metazoa; Chordata; Mammalia; Rodentia; Cricetidae. The record is from Rfam by way of RNAcentral.